UAGUCUUUGUAUCCUUUCUAUGGUAAACUA
Molecule: non-coding RNA, 30 nt
Filed under: Rattus norvegicus (Norway rat)
Lineage: Eukaryota; Metazoa; Chordata; Mammalia; Rodentia; Muridae
Source: RNAcentral